RNAcentral lists this ribosomal RNA (372 nucleotides) under uncultured organism. Its description in RNAcentral is "partial 16S ribosomal RNA". It matches the Rfam family "Bacterial small subunit ribosomal RNA", at positions 527 to 897 of the family's 1533-position model. The record is from RNAcentral.
GGAGGAUCCAAGCGUUAUCCGGUAAUCAUUGGGGUUUAAAGGGUCCGUAGGUUGAUAAUUAAGUCAGAGGUGAAAUCCUGCAGCUCAACUGUAGAAUCGCCUUUGAAACUGUUUAUCUUGAGUUAUUAUGAAGUAGUUAGAAUAUGUAGUGUAGCGGUGAAAUGCAUAGAUAUUACAUAGAAUACCAAUUGCGAAGGCAGAUUACUAAUAAUAUACUGACACUGAUGGACGAAAGCGUGGGGAGCGAACAGGAUUAGAUACCCUGGUAGUCCACGCCGUAAACGAUGGUCACUAGCUGUUCGGAUUUCGAUCUGAGUGGCUAAGCGAAAGUGAUAAGUGACCCACCUGGGGAGUACGUUCGCAAAGAAAUGA